GACGAACGCUGGCGGCGUGCUUAACACAUGCAAGUCGAACGGAAAGGCCCUGCUUUUGUGGGGUGCUCGAGUGGCGAACGGGUGAGUAACACGUGAGUAACCUGCCCUUGACUUUGGGAUAACUUCAGGAAACUGGGGCUAAUACCGGUUAGGAGCUCCUGCUGCAUGGUGGGGGUUGGAAAGUUUCGGCGGUUGGGGAUGGACUCGCGGCUUAUCAGCUUGUUGGUGGGGUAGUGGCUUACCAAGGCUUUGACGGGUAGCCGGCCUGAGAGGGUGACCGGCCACAUUGGGACUGAGAUACGACCCAGACUCCUACGGGAGGCAGCAGUGGGGAAUAUUGCACAAUGGGCGGAAGCCUGAUGCAGCAACGCCGCGUGCGGGAUGACGGCCUUCGGGUUGUAAACCGCUUUCGCCUGUGACGAAGCGUGAGUGACGGUAAUGGGUAAAGAAGCACCGGCUAACUACGUG
Molecule: ribosomal RNA, 468 nt
Filed under: uncultured bacterium
Lineage: Bacteria
Description: partial 16S ribosomal RNA
Rfam family: Bacterial small subunit ribosomal RNA
Source: RNAcentral